CCGUUGCCGGCGACCGGCGCACGGGUGAGUAACACGUAUGCAACCUGCCCGUGGCAGGGGGAUAAGCGGGGGAAACCCCGUCUAAUACCGCGUAACGCGGCCUAGGGACAUCCCAAGGCCGCCAAAGGGAGCAAUCCCGGCCACGGAUGGGCAUGCGGCGCAUUAGCUAGUCGGCGGGGUAACGGCCCACCGAGGCGACGAUGCGUAGGGGUUCUGAGAGGAAGGCCCCCCACACUGGUACUGAGACACGGUCCAAACUCCUACGGAAGGCAGCAG
RNAcentral lists this ribosomal RNA (276 nucleotides) under uncultured bacterium. RNAcentral's name for it is "partial 16S ribosomal RNA". It matches the Rfam family "Bacterial small subunit ribosomal RNA", at positions 82 to 354 of the family's 1533-position model. The record is from RNAcentral.